CCUACGGGUGGCAGCAGUGGGGAAUAUUGGACAAUGGGGGAAACCCUGAUCCAGCGACGCCGCGUGAGUGAAGAAGUAUUUCGGUAUGUAAAGCUCUAUCAGCAGGGAAGAAAGAAAUGACGGUACCGGACUAAGAAGACCCGGCUAACUACGUGCCAGCAGCCGCGGUACUACGUAGGGGGCAAGCGUUAUCCGGAUUGACUGGGUGUAAAGGGAGCGUAGACGGCGAUGCAAGUCUGAAGUGAAAGGCGGGGGCCCAACCCCCGGACUGCCUUGGAAACUGUAUGGUUGGAGUGCAGGAGAGGUAAGUGGAAUUCCUAGGGUAGCGGUGAAAUGCGUAGAUAUUAGGAGGAACACCAGUGGCGAAGGCGGCUUACUGGACUGUAACUGACGUUGAGGCUCGAAAGCGUGGGGAGCAAACAGGAUGAGAUACCCCGGUAGUC
This 443-nucleotide ribosomal RNA is filed under the name uncultured bacterium. RNAcentral describes it as "partial 16S ribosomal RNA". It matches the Rfam family "Bacterial small subunit ribosomal RNA", at positions 338 to 795 of the family's 1533-position model. The record is from RNAcentral.